UUCAGGAAAGAAACAAUUUGUGCUGCUGAAGAUAAUAAAAGGAGACUAAAGUCCUAACUCUAAAGAAAGGGAAUAUCCAGUUUAGAGGAUUACAGGAGAAGGAAAUCGGUGCUGGAACAAAGUCCUCAGUCAUGGAGUUACAUCAGUUUUGAGGUGUUCAAAACAAGGCUAAUACAAAAGCAAAUGGAAAAUAGAAAGAAUGUGGUUAUGAAAUACAGGAACAAAGAGGACUUAACACAAACACAGAAAUACUCAGUACUUCUACAUAUGUACUCUGUACUUAAAAGAAGCAAUACCUACAGUUCCUCCUUAUACAUUCCACAUACAUGAAAUCCGUCCUUUCUUAAUCUGAACCCAGAUGCCUUUGAGGUAGGUAUAUAUAUGGUGGGUUGACCGUGGCUGGACACCAGGUGCCCAACAAAACCUCUCUAUCACUCCCCUCCUCAGCUGGUCAUGGGAGAGAAAAUACAAUGAAAGGCUGAUGGGUUGAGAUAAGGACAGGGAGAGAUCACUCACCAGUUACCAUUAGGGGCAAAACAGACUCAACUUGGGG
Molecule: long non-coding RNA, 553 nt
Organism: Pezoporus occidentalis (night parrot)
Lineage: Eukaryota; Metazoa; Chordata; Aves; Psittaciformes; Psittacidae
Exons: 2
Source: RefSeq, a predicted model, not a curated record